This 468-nucleotide ribosomal RNA is filed under the name uncultured bacterium. RNAcentral describes it as "partial 16S ribosomal RNA". It matches the Rfam family "Bacterial small subunit ribosomal RNA", at positions 28 to 507 of the family's 1533-position model. The record is from RNAcentral.
GACGAACGCUGGCGGCGUGCUUAACACAUGCAAGUCGAACGGAAAGGCCCUGCUUUUGUGGGGUGCUCGAGUGGCGAACGGGUGAGUAACACGUGAGUAACCUGCCCUUGACUUUGGGAUAACUUCAGGAAACUGGGGCUAAUACCGGAUAGGAGCUCCUGCUGCAUGGUGGGGGUUGGAAAGUUUCGGCGGUUGGGGAUGGACUCGCGGCUUAUCAGCUUGCUGGUGGGGUAGUGGCUUACCAAGGCUUUGACGGGUAGCCGGCCUGGGAGGGUGACCGGCCACAUUGGGACUGAGAUACGGCCCAGACUCCUACGGGAGGCAGCAGUGGGGAAUAUUGCAAAAUGGGCGGAAGCCUGAUGCAGCAACGCCGCGUGCGGGAUGACGGCCUUCGGGUUGUAAACCGCUUUCGCCUGUGACGAAGCGUGAGUGACGGUAAUGGGUAAAGAAGCACCGGCUAACUACGUG